Molecule: ribosomal RNA, 253 nt
Filed under: uncultured bacterium
Lineage: Bacteria
Description: partial 16S ribosomal RNA
Rfam family: Bacterial small subunit ribosomal RNA
Source: RNAcentral
UACGGAGGGUGCAAGCGUUAUCCGGAUUCACUGGGUUUAAAGGGUGCGUAGGAGGACUGGUAAGUCAGUGGUGAAAUCCCCGAGCUUAACUUGGGAACUGCCGUUGAUACUAUCAGUCUUGAAUACCGUGGAGGUGAGCGGAAUAUGUCAUGUAGCGGUGAGAUGCUUAGAUAUGACAUAGAACACCAAUUGCGAAGGCAGCUCGCUACACGAAUAUUGACUCUGAGGCACGAAAGCGUGGGGAUCAAACAGG